AUUGAACGCUGGCGGCAGGCCUAACACAUGCAAGUCGAACGGUAACAGGAAGAAUCUUGCUUCUUUGCUGACGAGUGGCGGACGGGUGAGUAAUGUCUGGGAAACUGCCUGAUGGAGGGGGAUAACUACUGGAAACGGUAGCUAAUACCGCAUAACGUCGCAAGACCAAAGAGGGGGACCUUCGGGCCUCUUGCCAUCGGAUGUGCCCAGAUGGGAUUAGCUAGUAGGUGGGGUAACGGCUCACCUAGGCGACGAUCCCUAGCUGGUCUGAGAGGAUGACCAGCCACACUGGAACUGAGACACGGUCCAGACUCCUACGGGAGGCAGCAGUGGGGAAUAUUGCACAAUGGGCGCAAGCCUGAUGCAGCCAUGCCGCGUGUAUGAAGAAGGCCUUCGGGUUGUAAAGUACUUUCAGCGGGGAGGAAGGGAGUAAAGUUAAUACCUUGGCUCAUUGACGUUACCCGCAGAAGAAGCACCGGCUAACUCCGUG
RNAcentral lists this ribosomal RNA (490 nucleotides) under uncultured bacterium. RNAcentral describes it as "partial 16S ribosomal RNA". It matches the Rfam family "Bacterial small subunit ribosomal RNA", at positions 30 to 507 of the family's 1533-position model. The record is from RNAcentral.